Molecule: long non-coding RNA, 4438 nt
Organism: Physeter macrocephalus (sperm whale)
Lineage: Eukaryota; Metazoa; Chordata; Mammalia; Artiodactyla; Physeteridae
Exons: 2
Source: RefSeq, a predicted model, not a curated record
AGUUACUUUUUCUAUGAAGAACACAUUAAUUCAGCUCUACCACUUACAACAAAAUCAUGAAAAGAAGGAAAUUUUCGGUACUGAUUCAGUGAUAUACCAGUGAAGUUAAACCAAAGAGGCAUCUCUGCUUACUUAAAAACGUUUAAACGGUCAGAGUAUGCAGUCUCUAAUUACUGGGAACCGAAACUUAAUAUGCGCACGCGUGUGUGUGUGUGUGUGUGUGUGUGUGCGUGCGUGUGUACGUAUGUAUGUGUGUCGGGGGGAGGUGUCUUAUGACCAUCAUUUGAAAAGUCAAAGAGCUCACAGCCAAACAGCACAUGCAAAGCUCAUCUUAAAUCUUUUUCAUUCUAGAACAAAACUUGUUACUUGAAAUGUCUAAAUUUUGUAUGUUGAAAAUAUGUAAAGCUUUUUACAAAUUCCAGAGGGAAAUUAAGAUCGAGAUCAGAGAUUCCUUUCUUUGCUUAAUAUUUCAGAUGCACUUUGUGCUUCUCAAAGAUGAAGACCUAGCAGUAAAACGCACUGGCACUUUACAAAUCAAUUUGUAUUGAACGCAAAUCCUUUCAAGAUCAGCUUUAAUUAGGGAUAUGCAAAUAAAGAGAUGCGUUUGAAGACGAGUUUAGGCAGUAGGUUAGACCAAUGGAAAUAACCAAGAAAAAAGGGUGUUCUUGGGUUUACCAAACUGGAAAAACUGUGAUUUCCAGAUACUCACUGAGCAGGAACUUUUCUCAAAUGUUUCAUUAACUUAGUCAGUCCUAAAGGUGGCCAGAUAACUUUCUCACAGUCACCAGAUAAAACCCACACUGCAGGGCUUCCCUGGUGGCGCAGUGGUUGAGAGUCCGCCUGCCGAUGCAGGGGACGCGGGUUCGUGCCCCGGUCCGGGAAGAUCCCACGUGCCGCGGAGCGGCUGGGCCCGUGAGCCAUGGCCGCUGAGCCUGGGCGUCCGGAGCCUGUGCUCCGCAACGGGAGAGGCCAUGACAGUGAGAGGCCCGCGUACCGCAAAAAAAAAACCCCAGACAACCCACACUGCAGAAGAAUGUUCUGUCAUAAAUAGCCUGAUUAAAAUAUACUGCCCGCUAGAAUUAAAAUAGCAAACACCCAAGACCUCUUGCAGUGCAGUAGGAAAUGUAAAAAGAAGGAAGUAUUUGGAACCAGAGGUAUUUUUGCCUAUACUGAAUAGAUUCGGAUUUCUUUAAAGUUGUUAAGAUUUUGAAAUGGAGAGAACUGAAAUCUAAUUUAAUUCAUAGCAGAGGUAAAUUAGUAAGAAUGUAUUAAAUACUUAAGGGCAAAUCACUGUAGCUGGGCCUCUUUAAGAUUUAACGUUGGAUAAACAGGAGUCAUGUUACUGAAGAAGGACAAGUCAGACUGAGAGAUUUAUGGAGGGAAAUAAACAUCUGUGACUUGUUGGUUUGGGGUUACGGUAAAACAUUGACGUGAAAGUGAAUCACGGGCCGUUAGAAGGGCAGGGCCUAGACGCACAGGUCAAGGCCGGCGAGCGGACGCACACAGGCUGGCGAGGAGGGAGCGGAGAUCCCAGGAGAGGUCUUUGGGGCAGAAGCUGGGCUGAAAAGCAGUUAGAAGACUGAAGGCCCGGUGAAGACGGGGAAGCCCGGAGCCCAGGAGGACCAGAACCGGAGCAGCCAGAGGGGCAAGAGAACAUGCCAGACUCUGGACGGGAAGCCAGAAGCCAGGACGGGGAGGACGAGGGGACGGAGGCCGGGCCCGGAGAGAAGUCUCCUGAGGAUCUGGAGCCGGGACUUGGUGCCAGGAACGGAGGCGCCCCGGGGGGCGGGCGUGGGAAAGCCCUCGAGGCACAGACACGGCCUCUGGCCGCUGGUCCCUGAAAGGGGUCUUCAGGCGCCACCAGGUGUGCUGUCCGGGAGGAAUGUGACGAAGGCGGGUCCCCCACCGGAGCCACCCUCGCGCCACCGUGCGCCCUGCAGCUGCGGGACAGCAGCCUCAGCCGCUCCGGGUCACGCUUCCACUCCGUGGGGACAGAAGCCACCCCUCGCAGGGGCACAUUUAAAAAACACGACGGUCACGCGGUCGUGAACAGGAUGAGAAAGUCACGCAAGACCGUUAAGUACUGCAACUCCGGCGCCGCAGGGGCCGCAGGCCCGCUGCCCGCUCCCCGGGCGCCGAGGACCCGCCCCGCGGGCGAUGGCGGCGCGUCCUCGGGAGCCGGAGCCGGCGGCCGGGCGUUCACGUACGCUUGACAGGUGCCCUGACUUCCACGGAAGGGACCCACCUCAGAGUGGAACUACCCAGCAAAUCCCGGGAAGGCAUCCUGCGCGUCCCCCGCCGCGCAGCACAUCUGCGGGGUCGGGGCGGGGCCGGCGGGCCGGGCGGAUUAACGCGAAGCUGCGCAAGCGCACCUGCUCCCCGGAGCGCUGCUCCCCGCGAACCGUUUCUCACACUCCUUUGUGACCGGCUUUCAGAGCUUGAGCCCCUAUUUUGACAGAUGUGAUCCAGAUGGAUGACCGCGCCAAUGGGUUUCUGAAAAAACGUUAAGACCGAUGAUCUCUGGGUGGCUCAGUCUGAGGCCGUAAGCAGUUCCGAGAGGCGUUUCAGAAAUGGUGUUUGAACGGCGGGCGAUGGCAUCUCUGGAACGUGGGCAGCCUCCCCAAGCGUUCCCGGAGCUGCACGUGCAGCCUCCAACGCCCCGGGCAGCCCCCUGACGCCGGUUCUUUAGUAGACCCACUACUAGCGCUGGUCCCCUUACAUGUCCAUCUUAAGGCGUUUACGCUUUCAUUACAAACGAACACCGUUUCACUUUUCUCUUCGGUAGAGUUGGACCAUCACUCCACAACGAAGCCCGAAAAGCACUGCCCGCACCUGCCUUGCGCGCGCGUCACGGGCUGGUCCUGCAGCUCUCACCCACGUGCCAGGCCGUGUCCUGGGCACCUCAUAGCCCCGGGGGUCAGGCACCCCAGGCUGAAGCCCAGUGCCUCCAGCUCAGAAGAGGGAGCUGGGAUUUGAACCCAAGCAGACCGACACGAGUCCAUUCGAUACCUCAGUCCUAUUUCCUUUUGCUAAGUAAACCAGAUUUGAGGAGAAAAAUCACUUAACGUUUUAUCAGGCAAAGGUACGAAUCAAACUGGGACUUCCGGGCAGUUCUCAAUGUAAAAAACACAGCGAGACGCCAGAGACGAGCUGCCUUCUCAACGUCACCCCUGGUCCCUGGCCAGGGCAGACUCUGUCCCAAUCCCCAGGCCGGCACACCACACGCGACCCCACCUCUCUCCGGUCAACCUCACAGGACCGCCAACAAUAGACACUGGGCCAUCAGCAGGACUCCUGAACACAGCCCUCUGGAAGAGGGCCGGUAAACACUGGCCCACGCUUUCCUGUCUUCUUCAAACCCUUGUGUUAGGUUUCCACGUGAGGGCUGUGAACUAGAGGCCGGGGACAAAAGGCCAGCAAGACGCGAAGACCACGGCCCAGCAGACAGGCCAUGAGGCAGGGCGAGGUGACCGCCGUUCACAGGCACCGCAACAGACACCUGCGUGAGGGGCAGCAGGGGACCAGGGCCUCGCCGGGUCACCUUUAGCUGUGGUUUCUCAACUUUAAAUAAGGGCUGUCCUUCCCGUGUUCUCCAGGUGAUGCUGUUUCCUUUUUAAUGCUCCGCUGUGCCCUGCUGAGGGAAACCGCUGUCUGAACAGGAAGACACGACAGACGACUGACCCGCCUCCCAGCUCCAUCCCCCUCUGUGUGUAGCCCAAGAACAGGGAGAUCGUCACUCUCACCUCUAACACGAAGGCUUCUACCUUGGAGGUACCAUUUCCCUCUUCAAGGGGGCAGGAACAGUCUUACAAGUCACUUACUACGUAAGACCAUGAAAUGAAUGAUGCAGCUGCACAACCAAGGUGAGAUCCAUGCUUUAUGAACACAUUAUUCUCACAAGUCCCAGUGACAGGCUUAACACACAAGAUUCUCAGUUCAUUUUACAGACUCUGGAACCAAGUUGUUCAAAAGAUGAAUUCUGAAACCAUGGUUGGUGUAGCAAAUUAAUAUAUCAAAACAAACAAAAACUUCAAAUAUUUACAUUUAAAAAAGACAUUUAAAAAACAGGCUACUUAUUAAGUAAGUGUGCUUGAACAAACCAUGUGUGGAAUUGAAUUCCAUUCAUUAUGGAGUUAGUUUCUGUUAAACACUGACACUACAGAGACCCCUGGCAUCUGAGGACUCAAGAAUUUAAGUGUUCCCAAUCUAUGCUAAAAAAUAAAACAUGACAGGGCUUCCCUGGUGGCACAGUGGUUGAGAGUCCGCCUGCCGAUGCAGGGGACGCGGGUUCGUGCCCCGGUCCGGGAAGAUCCCACAUGCCGCGGAGCGGCUGGGCCCGUGAGCCACGGCCGCUGGGCCUGCUCGUCCGGAGCCUGUGCUCCGCAACGGGAGAGGCCACAACAGUGAGAGGCCCGCGUACCGCAAAAAAAAAAAAUAA